Molecule: long non-coding RNA, 273 nt
Filed under: Lathyrus oleraceus (garden pea)
Lineage: Eukaryota; Viridiplantae; Streptophyta; Magnoliopsida; Fabales; Fabaceae
Description: Pisum sativum (pea) long non-coding RNA (PSAT_LNC030493)
Source: RNAcentral
AAAGAUGAAAACUUCCUUAGCUCUUUCAAAUCAGGACAUCUGAAACUGUACUUCUUUGUGUUCCUUUUUCCACAAUCCAUUGGUCUGAAAAUAUUUGCAAAUAAGACUUCAAUUCCUUGAUAUUUAUUUUUCUACGAUGAAUGUCAUGAUGCACAUGUAUGCAUGAAUGCAACAAUCACAAACAAGGGAUCACACACAAGGCUAAAACAAAUAAAGAUCAAGGGAUGGAUCAAGUCAUUAUCAAGAUUAAUCAUCAAUUUUGGUGGAUUAUGG